This 253-nucleotide ribosomal RNA is filed under the name uncultured bacterium. RNAcentral's name for it is "partial 16S ribosomal RNA". It matches the Rfam family "Bacterial small subunit ribosomal RNA", at positions 524 to 776 of the family's 1533-position model. The record is from RNAcentral.
GACGUAGGGCGCAAGCGUUGUCCGGAUUUAUUGGGCGUAAAGAGCUCGUAGGCGGCCUGUCGCGUCGACCGUGAAAACCCGCAGCUCAACUGCGGGCUUGCGGUCGAUACGGGCAGGCUGGAGUUCGGUAGGGGAGACUGGAAUUCCUGGUGUAGCGGUGAAAUGCGCAGAUAUCAGGAGGAACACCGGUGGCGAAGGCGGGUCUCUGGGCCGAUACUGACGCUGAGAAGCGAAAGCGUGGGGAGCGAACAGG